Molecule: long non-coding RNA, 226 nt
Organism: Rhipicephalus microplus (southern cattle tick)
Lineage: Eukaryota; Metazoa; Arthropoda; Arachnida; Ixodida; Ixodidae
Source: RefSeq, a predicted model, not a curated record
UAACCGUAAGAUGACGGCUACGCUGAAGCGCCUGCCAUGUGUUCGCAUUUUGAACGCCGAGCCGAAGAUGCCGCCCGGCUCCAAGUACUUCGUGCAGUCACCUGAGCAAUCGCCAUCAUCGUCGACUAAGGGUAGGACGGGACGGGGGAUAAUCUUUUUUCCGUGCUCUGCCCAAAAGAAACAGCUGUAUUUGCCCAAAUAAAGUUUGUUGAUUGAUUACAGUCUA